Colossoma macropomum (tambaqui) is the source of this 1187-nucleotide long non-coding RNA. RefSeq lists it as uncharacterized. The transcript has 2 exons. The record is from RefSeq and is a predicted model, not a curated record. NCBI's taxonomy places the organism in Eukaryota, Metazoa, Chordata, Actinopteri, Characiformes, Serrasalmidae.
AGUAUCCUGGUAAUGAAGGCAGAGUAGAGUUCAAUGAGGAAACCUACAGUCUGACACUGAAGAACUUACAGAAGACUGAUAGUGGACUGUAUGAAGUAAGAGCAUCUGGUGAUGAGGUCAGAGUUGUUGCUGAGUACAGACUCUCUGUGUUGGGUAAGUCUUAUAGAAAAUCAGUCAGUGAGAGGAAACAUGCAGUCCUGACACAACACUGCUGUUAUUAAGAUGCUGUAAUUUUCUCUAUUCUUUAUUUAAUCUUGUGCAUACAUGAAGUGUGCUGAGACAAAGUCAGUACAUUUAUUAUAUAAUGGAGAUUAUACAACAUAAUAAUAAUAAUCUGUGUAUCUGCAUACGUUUUUUGCCUCCUUUUAGUCAGGACCCCUACAGUACCACCACAGAGCAGGUAUUCUUUGGGUGGUGGAUCAUUUUCAUCACUGCACUGACGUGGUGGUGGUGUGUUAGUGUGUGUUGUGCUGGUACGAGUGGAUCAGACACAGCAAUGCUGCUGGAUAGGGGCUUAAACAUCAUUAAGCAAGAUAAAGUAAUUUAAGAUAUGUAGUGGCACCCUCUGCUGGUUGUCCUGUGUGAUUACUGAAGACUGUGCUUUAUUCCAUCAUUCUGAUUCUCCUCAUGUUAACAACAGUCAUCAUCCACAUCAGAAAGAGAUCAAAUCAUCUUAAAAAACAUAUAUGGCCCUUUAUUAUUGAACGCAAUUCUGUGAAAAAACAUCAAAAUAAAAAGAUGGCAAGCCCGAAAUAUAAUGGCUCUUCCUGCUGGGUUUAGGUCAGAGUCCAGAUUUAAGCCUUUUAGAGGAUAUUUGGUCUCACAUUAAAUACACACACACACUCUAUCUAUGCCGUUUAUUCUCCCAGUGGUGCUGGAGCCCAUCCCAGCAUCCAUUGGGCAGAAAGCAGAAAACACCCUGGACAGGCCGCCAGUCCAUCAUGGGCACAUAAAGAGACAAUAUGUGAAAUGGUAAUGACAUCCUAACAGGAUACAAAUGUGAGGAUAAAUAAAAUUGUAAAUAAUCUUUAUUGUUGAGGUGCUUGAAUGCUUGUGUGCCGAUGUUUGCAAUCGAUUUGUUGACAGAAACCUGAAUUUGCAUGACAGAAAUGUUUUAAUCAGAGCAUUCUAUUUAUCUGUCCUACAUGGAUUAUUCAUACUAAUAAAGUCAUUUCAUUUCAAUCUUU